CCUACGGGAGGCAGCAGUGAGGAAUAUUGGACAAUGGGCGCAAGCCUGAUCCAGCCAUGCCGCGUGCAGGAAGAAGCAUCUAUGGUGUGUAAACUGCUUUUGUACAGGAAGAAACACUCCCUCGUGAGGGAGCUUGACGGUACUGUAAGAAUAAGGACCGGCUAACUCCGUGCCAGCAGCCGCGGUAAUACGGAGGGUCCGAGCGUUAUCCGGAAUCAUUGGGUUUAAAGGGUCCGUAGGCGGUUUAAUAAGUCAGUGGUGAAAUCUGGUCGCUCAACGAUCAAACGGCCAUUGAUACUGUUAGACUUGAAUUAUAAGGAAGUAACUAGAAUAUGUAGUGUAGCGGUGAAAUGCUUAGAUAUUACAUGGAAUACCAAUUGCGAAGGCAGGUUACUACUUAUGGAUUGACGCUGAUGGACGAAAGCGUGGGGAGCGAACAGGAUUAGAUACCCUGGUAGUCCACGCCGUAAACGAUGGAUACUAGCUGUUCGGAGCAAUCUGAGUGGCUAAGCGAAAGUGAUAAGUAUCCACCUGGGGAGUACGUUCGCAAGAAUUGAAACUUCAAAGGAAUUGACGG
This 577-nucleotide ribosomal RNA is filed under the name uncultured bacterium. RNAcentral describes it as "bacterial SSU rRNA". It matches the Rfam family "Bacterial small subunit ribosomal RNA", at positions 338 to 916 of the family's 1533-position model. The record is from RNAcentral.